RNAcentral lists this long non-coding RNA (373 nucleotides) under Volvox carteri. RNAcentral describes it as "long non-coding RNA (VCAR_LNC000817)". The record is from RNAcentral. Lineage: Eukaryota; Viridiplantae; Chlorophyta; Chlorophyceae; Chlamydomonadales; Volvocaceae.
CAGGCGGCUGGCAGAGGUUAAGGCCUGGCUUCUGCUCCCGUCGCGUCCCGGCGCGUCCGGGUUCAAAUUCGCCUGCCGACCUCUCGGGGUGAUUGAGAGGUGAUGAAAUGGGAGGUGGCCCCCCAACUUGUGGACGGUGUAGGACGUGAUAAAAUCAACUCGCGAGCUGACCAGGAACUAAGUUGACGCGCCGUUGAUCCGCUAGAUUUGGUUGGAUGCUGGUGAUGAGUUGCCAAACUCAAAGAGUACACUCUGAAGUCGGAUGGGGUGAAUGGCUUAGGGUGCCCCUCUAGCAGGGGAGAGCAGGGAAUUGCCUCGGGAAGGAGGCCACUGGUGAAGCUUAACCACCCUGUAACAACAUCAACAAUCAGCG